UACACUCCUACGGGAGGCAGCAGUGGGGAAUAUUGCACAAUGGGCGCAAGCCUGAUGCAGCCAUGCCGCGUGUGUGAAGAAGGCCUUCGGGUUGUAAAGCACUUUCAGCGGGGAGGAAGGCGAUACGGUUAAUAACCGUGUUGAUUGACGUUACCCGCAGAAGAAGCACCGGCUAACUCCGUGCCAGCAGCCGCGGUAAUACGGAGGGUGCAAGCGUUAAUCGGAAUUACUGGGCGUAAAGCGCACGCAGGCGGUCUGUCAAGUCGGAUGUGAAAUCCCCGGGCUCAACCUGGGAACUGCAUUCGAAACUGGCAGGCUUGAGUCUUGUAGAGGGGGGUAGAAUUCCAGGUGUAGCGGUGAAAUGCGUAGAGAUCUGGAGGAAUACCGGUGGCGAAGGCGGCCCCCUGGACAAAGACUGACGCUCAGGUGCGAAAGCGUGGGGAGCAAACAGGAUUAGAAACCCUAGUAGUCCCAUGA
Molecule: ribosomal RNA, 477 nt
Filed under: uncultured organism
Description: partial 16S ribosomal RNA
Rfam family: Bacterial small subunit ribosomal RNA
Source: RNAcentral